RNAcentral lists this non-coding RNA (64 nucleotides) under Alicyclobacillus sp. RNAcentral describes it as "Fluoride sequence". It matches the Rfam family "Fluoride riboswitch aptamer (crcB RNA motif)". The record is from RNAcentral. Lineage: Bacteria; Bacillati; Bacillota; Bacilli; Caryophanales; Alicyclobacillaceae.
AGUGAUAUCGGUGAUGGAGCUCACCAGAAAGCCUCUACAAGAGGAUGAUGGCUCCUGCAAAAGC